This 1164-nucleotide ribosomal RNA is filed under the name Lacticaseibacillus paracasei. RNAcentral's name for it is "bacterial SSU rRNA". It matches the Rfam family "Bacterial small subunit ribosomal RNA", at positions 51 to 1192 of the family's 1533-position model. The record is from RNAcentral. Lineage: Bacteria; Bacillati; Bacillota; Bacilli; Lactobacillales; Lactobacillaceae.
AUACAUGCAGUCGAACGAGUUCUCGUUGAUGAUCGGUGCUUGCACCGAGAUUCAACAUGGAACGAGUGGCGGACGGGUGAGUAACACGUGGGUAACCUGCCCUUAAGUGGGGGAUAACAUUUGGAAACAGAUGCUAAUACCGCAUAGAUCCAAGAACCGCAUGGUUCUUGGCUGAAAGAUGGCGUAAGCUAUCGCUUUUGGAUGGACCCGCGGCGUAUUAGCUAGUUGGUGAGGUAAUGGCUCACCAAGGCGAUGAUACGUAGCCGAACUGAGAGGUUGAUCGGCCACAUUGGGACUGAGACACGGCCCAAACUCCUACGGGAGGCAGCAGUAGGGAAUCUUCCACAAUGGACGCAAGUCUGAUGGAGCAACGCCGCGUGAGUGAAGAAGGCUUUCGGGUCGUAAAACUCUGUUGUUGGAGAAGAAUGGUCGGCAGAGUAACUGUUGUCGGCGUGACGGUAUCCAACCAGAAAGCCACGGCUAACUACGUGCCAGCAGCCGCGGUAAUACGUAGGUGGCAAGCGUUAUCCGGAUUUAUUGGGCGUAAAGCGAGCGCAGGCGGUUUUUUAAGUCUGAUGUGAAAGCCCUCGGCUUAACCGAGGAAGCGCAUCGGAAACUGGGAAACUUGAGUGCAGAAGAGGACAGUGGAACUCCAUGUGUAGCGGUGAAAUGCGUAGAUAUAUGGAAGAACACCAGUGGCGAAGGCGGCUGUCUGGUCUGUAACUGACGCUGAGGCUCGAAAGCAUGGGUAGCGAACAGGAUUAGAUACCCUGGUAGUCCAUGCCGUAAACGAUGAAUGCUAGGUGUUGGAGGGUUUCCGCCCUUCAGUGCCGCAGCUAACGCAUUAAGCAUUCCGCCUGGGGAGUACGACCGCAAGGUUGAAACUCAAAGGAAUUGACGGGGGCCCGCACAAGCGGUGGAGCAUGUGGUUUAAUUCGAAGCAACGCGAAGAACCUUACCAGGUCUUGACAUCUUUUUGAUCACCUGAGAGAUCAGUUUCCCCUUCGGGGGCAAAAUGACAGGUGGUGCAUGGUUGUCGUCAGCUCGUGUCGUGAGAUGUUGGGUUACGUCCCGCACGAGCGCAACCUUAUGACUAGUGCCAGCAUUUAGUGGCACUCUAGUAAGACUGCCGGUGACCAGCGAGAGGUGGGAUGACGUCAAUCA